RNAcentral lists this ribosomal RNA (400 nucleotides) under uncultured bacterium. RNAcentral describes it as "bacterial SSU rRNA". It matches the Rfam family "Bacterial small subunit ribosomal RNA", at positions 355 to 747 of the family's 1533-position model. The record is from RNAcentral.
UGGGGAAUUUUGGACAAUGGGCGCAAGCCUGAUCCAGCCAUGCCGCGUGCGGGAAGAAGGCCUUCGGGUUGUAAACCGCUUUUGUCAGGGAAGAAAUCCUUUGAGCUAAUACCUCGGGGGGAUGACGGUACCUGAAGAAUAAGCACCGGCUAACUACGUGCCAGCAGCCGCGGUAAUACGUAGGGUGCGAGCGUUAAUCGGAAUUACUGGGCGUAAAGCGUGCGCAGGCGGUUAUGUAAGACAGGUGUGAAAUCCCCGGGCUUAACCUGGGAACUGCACUUGUGACUGCAUAGCUUGAGUGCGGCAGAGGGGGAUGGAAUUCCGCGUGUAGCAGUGAAAUGCGUAGAUAUGCGGAGGAACACCGAUGGCGAAGGCAAUCCCCUGGGCCUGCACUGACGCU